AGAGAUUCCAGGUGCACGCUGUCUCCAGCGCUCGCUCCUUCCAGCAUGGAAGCUGACCCUUAAGGUCACAGAGCCAUCCGACCCUCAGUUUAAAAACUACUCUCUGCAUUGGGUGAUUUUUUGCCACUUUCUUAGCUUAACAUUGCAGCCAGCUCUUAAACCCAGUUCAUCUCCUCCCUCUUUUCACAACAGAAGUCUGCGAGCCCAGGAUGGCAGAGGUCACCGAGGAGGCUGCAGGUGCAGGGGUCUACUAACCGGGAAGGGGUGGGCUCUCAGAGAGACAGCAACAGGAGCAGCAGGUGCGCCAGGGUAGGAAUGGGCCUGGGAAAGGGAGACAUGAGGUCAGACCAGUAACAGGGCCAGGACACAGGAAAUCAAGCUGUAGGACCGGCUGACCCCAUUUGGCAACUAAGUCGAUGCGUUUGUGAGCAUUCGGAAGGAAUCCCUGGGCACCCCUAAAAACCAGCUUGGAACAUCCCUGCAUAUUUAGUGCAUGGUUGGAACCAAUAGAACAUAGGUCAUAUUAGAAUGUUUCAGGUGAAUUCCAUCUACAAACAGGGCAAGUUCUAAGUUUGAAAUCAAUAAUUACCAUACUGUUGUUAUUUCACUAAAUGUUUAAAAACAAGAAGAUGAAUUUUAGAAUUUAUCCGCUGCCCUUCAGUGUAGAUGCCCUUAGAAAAGUGAAUCUUUUUUUUUUUAAGCAAAAAAAGAACCUUCCAACAGAGAAUCAUUAUGUAGCUCAUCUUCUAAGGCAUGCAACCAGUGUGGUUUAGAAAUGUUAAAAAUAGCCCUUUGGCUCAGCUGUUGCCCUCUUUGGCAUGUACUUGCACAUGCUGAAGCCAGAGUUUGCAGUGACCUUGGCCUUGGUAGGGUGCUAGGGGUGGAGUGGGUUCUCUUGUUCACUCUCCUCUCUAAACUUCUUGUCUUUCAACUUGUAUUCCACAAGUCAGAGGCCUGCAAAAGGAAGAGCAAAGCUCUGUCUCAGACAAGACACUGCAUUCCGGGCCUCCUGUUCUGAAUAAUCCACCUUCCUGGAUCACAGUUCUGAACAGCCGUGCCUUGGAAGGGGGCCCGGACAGGACACCAUUCGACCUGAUGCUCCUCAGGGCCCUGCUGUGGAUUAGCUGUCUGGCCUUAGGAAAGUCCUUUAAUCUCUUGGGGUUUUAGUUUACUCUCUACUGAAUCUCUGAAGAACUUUCCAGUUUAAAAAUUGUUCUAUGACUGCACAAGGCUCAAACAAAAAGUUUUCUCGUGGCCCUCCAGUAUGGGUUCUGAGAAUUCUAGUCAAAAUGUUACUCACACAUGUAAUCCUAAAACUAGACAUUUCCUUACACAAAUGAUUUUAGACUUUUGAAACAAGAGAAUGAAUACAAUAAAAUGCAAUCCAUAUAU
Molecule: long non-coding RNA, 1392 nt
Filed under: Marmota monax (woodchuck)
Lineage: Eukaryota; Metazoa; Chordata; Mammalia; Rodentia; Sciuridae
Source: RNAcentral